RNAcentral lists this ribosomal RNA (494 nucleotides) under uncultured bacterium. RNAcentral describes it as "partial 16S ribosomal RNA". It matches the Rfam family "Bacterial small subunit ribosomal RNA", at positions 28 to 507 of the family's 1533-position model. The record is from RNAcentral.
GACGAACGCUGGCGGCGUGCUUAACACAUGCAAGUCGAACGGUGAAGCGCCUUCCUUUUUGGUGGGUGUGGAUGAGUGGCGAACGGGUGAGUAACACGUGAGUAACCUGCCCCCUUCUUCUGGAUAACCGCAUGAAAGUGUGGCUAAUACGGGAUAUUCUGGGUCUGUCGCAUGAUGGGUCUGGGAAAGAUAUUGUUUCGGUGGGGGAUGGGCUCGCGGCCUAUCAGCUUGUUGGUGGGGUGAUGGCCUACCAAGGCGAUGACGGGUAGCCGGCCUGAGAGGGUGGACGGUCACACUGGGACUGAGACACGGCCCAGACUCCUACGGGAGGCAGCAGUGGGGAAUAUUGCACAAUGGGCGCAAGCCUGAUGCAGCGACGCCGCGUGAGGGAUGGAGGCCUUCGGGUUGUGAACCUCUUUCGCCAGUGAAGCAGGCCUGCCUCGUUUGUGGGUGGGUUGACGGUAGCUGGAUAAGAAGCGCCGGCUAACUACGUG